This 565-nucleotide ribosomal RNA is filed under the name uncultured Prochlorothrix sp. Its description in RNAcentral is "bacterial SSU rRNA". It matches the Rfam family "Bacterial small subunit ribosomal RNA", at positions 340 to 919 of the family's 1533-position model. The record is from RNAcentral. Lineage: Bacteria; Bacillati; Cyanobacteriota; Cyanophyceae; Prochlorotrichales; Prochlorotrichaceae.
UACGGGAGGCAGCAGUGGGGAAUUUUCCGCAAUGGGCGAAAGCCUGACGGAGCAACGCCGCGUGUGGGAGGAAGGUUUUAGGACUGUAAACCACUUUUCUCAGGGAAGAAGAUCUGACGGUACCUGAGGAAUAAGCAUCGGCUAAUUCCGUGCCAGCAGCCGCGGUAAUACGGGAGAUGCAAGCGUUAUCCGGAAUUAUUGGGCGUAAAGCGUUCGUAGGCGGUUCAACAAGUCUGUUGUCAAAGGUCGCAGCUUAACUGCGGAAAGGCAAUGGAAACUGUGGAGCUAGAGUGUGGUAGGGGUAAGGGGAAUUCCCAGUGUAGCGGUGAAAUGCGUAGAUAUUGGGAAGAACACCAGCGGCGAAAGCGCCUUACUGGGCCACAACUGACGCUGAGGGACGAAAGCUAGGGGAGCGAAAGGGAUUAGAUACCCCUGUAGUCCUAGCCGUAAACGAUGGACACUAGGUGUUGUCUGUAUCGACCCGGACAGUGCCGUAGCCAACGCGUUAAGUGUCCCGCCUGGGGAGUACGCACGCAAGUGUGAAACUCAAAGGAAUUGACGGGGA